This 253-nucleotide ribosomal RNA is filed under the name uncultured bacterium. RNAcentral's name for it is "partial 16S ribosomal RNA". It matches the Rfam family "Bacterial small subunit ribosomal RNA", at positions 524 to 776 of the family's 1533-position model. The record is from RNAcentral.
UACGUAUGGGGCAAGCGUUAUCCGGAUUUACUGGGUGUAAAGGGAGCGCAGGCGGCCUGGCAAGCCUGAUGUGAAAUACCGGGGCCCAACCCCGGGGCUGCAUUGGGAACUGCCAGGCUGGAGUGCCGGAGAGGCAGGCGGAAUUCCUAGUGUAGCGGUGAAAUGCGUAGAUAUUAGGAGGAACACCAGUGGCGAAGGCAGCCUGCUGGACGGUGACUGACGCUGAGGCACGAAAGCGUGGGGAGCGAACAGG